Molecule: long non-coding RNA, 288 nt
Filed under: Brassica rapa (field mustard)
Lineage: Eukaryota; Viridiplantae; Streptophyta; Magnoliopsida; Brassicales; Brassicaceae
Description: long non-coding RNA (BRAP_LNC004676)
Source: RNAcentral
UCCGCCGUUUUAAACCCCGUCGCUACCCUAACGGCAGCAAACGCCGUCUCUUUCGUGUUUCCCUUACCGUGUAGGUUACGUUUCCUCUGCUCUAACUCCUCUUUGUAUGUAUGUUUUCUCAACAUGUCAACGAUCUCAGCUUUCGAAUGUGCGUUCAAGAACUCGACUUCGUCUCCGUUACCUAACGUCGUGUCGGCCUUGAAGUUCGUGACGGCGUCACGGCCGCGGAAACGGUGAGCUGCGACGUCGUAAGCACGAGCAGCUUCUUCUUCUUCGUUGAAAGUGCCG